GCUUUGGAGAAUCCCAUUAAAUUGGGUGCCGACGGUGUAAGGUGCAAAGACGCACUGAAUCUCUCAGGCAAAAGAACAGGGCU
RNAcentral lists this non-coding RNA (83 nucleotides) under pig gut metagenome. RNAcentral's name for it is "Glycine riboswitch". It matches the Rfam family "Glycine riboswitch aptamer", at positions 8 to 87 of the family's 94-position model. From Rfam's summary of the family: This family represents the bacterial glycine riboswitch. The record is from RNAcentral.